RNAcentral lists this ribosomal RNA (820 nucleotides) under uncultured bacterium. RNAcentral describes it as "bacterial SSU rRNA". It matches the Rfam family "Bacterial small subunit ribosomal RNA", at positions 8 to 796 of the family's 1533-position model. The record is from RNAcentral.
AGAGUUUGAUCAUGGCUCAGGACGAACGCUGGCGGCGUGCCUAAUACAUGCAAGUCGAACGAGAAUUUUUUACACCGAGUGCUUGCACUCACCGUAAGAAAUUCGAGUGGCGGACGGGUGAGUAACACGUGGGUAACCUGCCCAAAAGAAGGGGAUAACAUUUGGAAACAAAUGCUAAUACCGUAUAACCAUGAUGAUCGCAUGGUCAUUAUGUAAAAGGUGGUUUUGCUAUCGCUUUUGGAUGGACCCGCGGCGUAUUAACUAGUUGGUAGGGUAACGGCCUACCAAGGUGAUGAUACGUAGCCGAGUUGAGAGACUGAUCGGCCACAAUGGGACUGAGACACGGCCCAUACUCCUACGGGAGGCAGCAGUAGGGAAUCUUCCACAAUGGGCGCAAGCCUGAUGGAGCAACGCCGCGUGAAUGAAGAAGGUCUUCGGAUCGUAAAAUUCUGUUGUUAGAGAAGAAUAUGAGUAAUAGUAACUGAUUAUUCACUGACGGUAUCUAACCAGCAAGUCACGGCUAACUACGUGCCAGCAGCCGCGGUAAUACGUAGGUGGCAAGCGUUGUCCGGAUUUAUUGGGCGUAAAGGGAACGCAGGCGGUUUUUUAAGUCUGAUGUGAAAGCCUUCGGCUUAACCGGAGAUGUGCAUUGGAAACUGGAAGACUUGAGUGCAGAAGAGGAGAGUGGAACUCCAUGUGUAGCGGUGAAAUGCGUAGAUAUAUGGAAGAACACCAGUGGCGAAAGCGGCUCUCUGGUCUGUAACUGACGCUGAGGUUCGAAAGCAUGGGUAGCGAACAGGAUUAGAUACCCUGGUAGUCC